AGUGAACGCUGGCGGCGUGCCUAAUACAUGCAAGUCGAACGGAAUUUAAAAGAGCUUGCUCUUUUAAAUUUAGUGGCGCACGGGUGAGUAAUAUAUAGCUAAUCUGCCCCUUGCUGGAGGACAACAGUUAGAAGUGACUGCUAAUACUCCAUACUCCUUUUUACCAUAAGAUAAAUCGGGAAAGAAUUUCGGCAAGGGAUGAGACUAUAUCGUAUCAGCUAGUCGGUGGGGUAACGGCCUACCGAGGCUAUGACGCGUAACUGGUCUGAGAGGAUGAUCAGUCACAUUGGAACUGAGACACGGUCCAAACUCCUACGGGAGGCAGCAGUAGGGAAUAUUGCGCAAUGGGGGAAACCCUGACGCAGCAACGCCGCGUGGAGGAUGACACUUUUCGGAGCGUAAACUCCUUUUGUUAGGGAAGAAUAAGACGGU
This 432-nucleotide ribosomal RNA is filed under the name Campylobacter gracilis. Its description in RNAcentral is "bacterial SSU rRNA". It matches the Rfam family "Bacterial small subunit ribosomal RNA", at positions 29 to 458 of the family's 1533-position model. Lineage: Bacteria; Pseudomonadati; Campylobacterota; Epsilonproteobacteria; Campylobacterales; Campylobacteraceae. The record is from RNAcentral.